UCAGUAACGGCGAGUGAAGCGGCAAAAGCUCAAAUUUGAAAUCCUCCGGGAAUUGUAAUUUGAAGGUGGGGUUGAAUAGGUCUAGAUACUUUAAGUCCAUUGGAAAAUGGCGCCAUGGAGGGUGAUAGCCCCGUAAAAGUAUUCAAAACCUUCUUUUCUUCCCCUCCUAAGAGUCGAGUUGUUUGGGAAUGCAGCUCUAAGUGGGUGGUAAAUUCCAUCUAAAGCUAAAUAUUGGCGAGAGACCGAUAGCGAACAAGUACAGUGAUGGAAAGAUGAAAAGCACUUUGAAAAGAGAGUGAAAAAGUACGUGAAAUUGUUGAAAGGGAAGGGCUUGCAAGCAGACACAACCUCGGUUGGGCCAGCAUCGGAGUGGGGGGAGACAAAAAAGGUUAGGAAUGUAACUCCCUUAGAGUAUUAUAUCCUAACCCCAUAUCUCCACCCCCUUCCGAGGCCUGCGAUUCUUCAAGGAUGCUGGCGUAAUGGUUGCAAGUCGCCCGUCUUG
This 502-nucleotide ribosomal RNA is filed under the name Metschnikowia koreensis. RNAcentral describes it as "eukaryotic LSU rRNA". It matches the Rfam family "Eukaryotic large subunit ribosomal RNA", at positions 80 to 656 of the family's 3401-position model. The record is from RNAcentral. Lineage: Eukaryota; Fungi; Ascomycota; Pichiomycetes; Serinales; Metschnikowiaceae.